UGCUGAAUGCCACUAAUCCUUUUGCGUAGUAGAAUGACUCGAGAGGUUGGGAAAAACUUCUCCAAAAAUGCCCAUUUCAUACUCUCCCAUGAUGUGACAGUUCCGAAGGCUAGCUCAUACAACCAAUAUUUAGCCUUUUCUAAGAGAGAAAAGGGAAAAGCCUUCAUUUUCAGAAUGCUCCCAUCAACGUUCACAGGGGUCAUGCUCGAGCAAACAACCUCAAACUCCUUCAAGUGUUUAUUAGGAUCUUCCAUGGACAUCCCAUGGAACUUAGGAAUGUGAUGCAACAAACUUGAUUUCAAUUCGAACUGGGGUAUUGGAUGCAUAGGGGAGUGGCAUUGUCUAAUCCCGAAGUGGAAAGCUCCUUGAUUAUUCGAUUGUCCACUGCCAUGUUUGGAUCUUCCUCUACAACUUGUGUCAUGGGCUCCUCUUGCUCUUCUACUUUGUCUUUUCCAAGAUCUGGUGCAGGUGGAGAUGGUUGGGAUUCUUGUUGAUUCCUUGCUCGUCUUAAAGUUCGUUCAAAAUCGUCGUCAAAAUUACAGAUGUGCUUAUGAAUAGGUUGAGAACUUUGAGUCAUAAACCACCUAAAACAAGAAAACAAGUAAAGUCAUCAACUAGGACAAAAACACAUGAAAAUAAACAAAAAGAAAUAACAAGGGAUUAGCAAAAUUGCUAAUCCCCGACAACGGCGCCAAAAAUUUGAUGCGAAUUUUUACUUAACACACAAAUUAAACCCUUUUGUAUCAAUUGUAGUAAAGAAAGUAGGGUUCGUUCUAGACCGGGGAUUAGGAGGGCUUGCUAAUAACCUCUAAACUGACUUAAAAACAUAUAAACAAAGUU
Molecule: long non-coding RNA, 840 nt
Filed under: Malus domestica (apple)
Lineage: Eukaryota; Viridiplantae; Streptophyta; Magnoliopsida; Rosales; Rosaceae
Description: long non-coding RNA (MDOM_LNC015080)
Source: RNAcentral